RNAcentral lists this ribosomal RNA (823 nucleotides) under uncultured organism. Its description in RNAcentral is "bacterial SSU rRNA". It matches the Rfam family "Bacterial small subunit ribosomal RNA", at positions 19 to 863 of the family's 1533-position model. The record is from RNAcentral.
CUGGCUCAGGAUGAACGCUAGCGGCGCGCUUAAUGCAUGCAAGUCGAGCGAUGAGGCCCUCUUCGGGGGGUACAUCAGCGGCAGACGGGUGAGUAACACGUAGGUGAUCUACCCCAGAGACGGGGAUAACGGGUGGAAACAUCCGCUAAUACCGGAUAGGCUUGUUCGGUCAAAGGGACAAGGAAAGGCUCCGGCGCUCUGGGAGGAGCCUGCGGCCCAUCAGCUAGUUGGCGGGGUAACGGCCCACCAAGGCAGAGACGGGUAGGGGGUGUGAGAGCAUGGCCCCCCACAAUGGGACUGGAACACGGCCCAUACUCCUACGGGAGGCAGCAGCAGGGAAUAUUGCACAAUGGACGGAAGUCUGAUGCAGCGACGCCGCGUGGAUGAAGAAGGCCCUCGGGUUGUAAAAUCCUUUACAGGGGGAAGAGGAAGGACGGUACCCCUGGAACAAGUGUCGGCUAACUACGUGCCAGCAGCCGCGGUAAGACGUAGGACACAAGCGUUAUCCGGAUUUACUGGGCGUAAAGCGUCUGCAGGCGGACAGGUAAGUUGGGCGUGAAAGCUCCGGGCCCAACCCGGAGAGGUCGUUCAAUACUGCGUGUCUAGAGGGUGUCAGAGGGGAGUGGAAUUUCCGGAGUAGCGGUAAAAUGCGCAGAGAUCGGAAAGAACACCAAUGGCGAAGGCAGCUCCCUGGGGCAAACCCUGACGCUAAGAGACGAAAGCUAGGGGAGCGAACAGGAUUAGAGACCCUGGUAGUCCUAGCCCUAAACGAUGGAUGCUGGAUGUGGGGCCAUAGCGCUCCGUGUCGAAGCGAACGCGUUAA